CACCAGACUCCUACGGGAGGCAGCAGUGGGGAAUAUUGCGCAAUGGGCGAAAGCCUGACGCAGCGACGCCGCGUGAGUGAAGAAGCGUUUCGGCGCGUAAAGCUCUGUCAGCGGGGAAGAAAGAAGACGGUACCCGACCAAGAAGCCCCGGCUAACUACGUGCCAGCAGCCGCGGUAAUACGUAGGGGGCGAGCGUUAUCCGGAAUUACUGGGUGUAAAGGGAGCGUAGACGGCGAAGUAAGCCUGAAGUGGAAGCCCGCGGCCCAACCGCGGAACUGCUUUGGGAACUGUUUAGCUGGAGUAUGGGAGGGGUAAGCGGAAUUCCUGGUGUAGCGGUGAAAUGCGUAGAUAUCAGGAGGAACACCGGUGGCGAAGGCGGCUUACUGGACCAUGACUGACGUUGAGGCUCGAAAGCGUGGGGAGCGAACAGGAUUAGAUACCCUAGUA
This 447-nucleotide ribosomal RNA is filed under the name uncultured bacterium. RNAcentral's name for it is "bacterial SSU rRNA". It matches the Rfam family "Bacterial small subunit ribosomal RNA", at positions 329 to 792 of the family's 1533-position model. The record is from RNAcentral.